UACGAAGGGGGCUAGCGUUGCUCGGAAUUACUGGGCGUAAAGGGCGCGUAGGCGGACAUUUAAGUCAGACGUGAAAUCCCUCGGCUUAACCGGGGAACUGCAUCUGAUACUGGAUGGCUUGAGUUCGGAAGAGGGAUGCGGAAUUCCAGGUGUAGCGGUGAAAUGCGUAGAUAUCUGGAGGAACACCGGUGGCGAAGGCGGCAUCCUGGACCGACACUGACGCUGAGGAGCGAAAGCCAGUGGAGCAAACGGG
Molecule: ribosomal RNA, 253 nt
Filed under: uncultured bacterium
Lineage: Bacteria
Description: partial 16S ribosomal RNA
Rfam family: Bacterial small subunit ribosomal RNA
Source: RNAcentral